UACGUAGGGUGCAAGCGUUGUCCGGAAUUAUUGGGCGUAAAGAGCUCGUAGGCGGUCUGUCGCGUCUGCUGUGAAAACUCAGGGCUUAACCCUGAGCUUGCAGUGGGUACGGGCAGACUAGAGUGCGGUAGGGGAGACUGGAAUUCCUGGUGUAGCGGUGAAAUGCGCAGAUAUCAGGAGGAACACCGGUGGCGAAGGCGGGUCUCUGGACGGUGACUGACGCUGAGACGCGAAAGCGUGGGGAGCAAACAGG
This 253-nucleotide ribosomal RNA is filed under the name uncultured bacterium. RNAcentral's name for it is "partial 16S ribosomal RNA". It matches the Rfam family "Bacterial small subunit ribosomal RNA", at positions 524 to 776 of the family's 1533-position model. The record is from RNAcentral.